Long non-coding RNA from Strigops habroptila (Kakapo), 817 nucleotides. RefSeq lists it as uncharacterized. NCBI's taxonomy places the organism in Eukaryota, Metazoa, Chordata, Aves, Psittaciformes, Psittacidae. The record is from RefSeq and is a predicted model, not a curated record. The transcript is spliced from 3 exons.
AGCCAGAGCUUUACAAUGCAUUUCUUAAAGGAAAGUGCAUUUUAUGUGUGUGCAGACCUCAUUUGGUGAUCCAUGUGUUUAUCAAUAUGUUCUCAGCGUGCCUUUUUCAGCAGAGUACUGCUGAAAAAAACUAACUGAAAAAAAAUAAAUACAGUAUGUUUUAGAAUCUAACCACCCCAUAAGACCUUAGUAUUUGUUACUGAGCUGAUGCCUCAUAAAGUAUGAUUAAGAUGUCUGUCCAGAUAAAUCGUUUGUUUUCCUGAAGCUGUUGAGGGGGAACUGAUUUCUACUUUAUACUGAAAGUUAGAAAUGCAGAAGUCUUUUCUCAAGUAAGUCCUAAGCAUGAUUUCCCUAUGUGGAAAAAAUUAUGAACUGUUUCACCUGCAUGGGGUGGGGGGGGGGAGCAGCACAUACUUUGAAAAAUAAGUGAAGUUUUACAGUAUGGCAUGUGAUUGUAUCAAUUGUCAAUUCAUGGUGUGUUUACACCCGUAAGAAAACCCUCUACCUCCUGUGUCCAUGGUGUGCUACGCAUCUCUUUUUACAGUACUCUCCUGCCUUUUUACAUCACUCGUGUUUUUUCUGUUUUCUUGACUCAUUAAAAAUCUGUCCCAUGCAGAAUUUAUCUCCUCCAACCACCUUGUUACUGAUAUCCUAUCUCAUUUGUAGAUGAGCUAGAAAAGAGGAGAUCUGUUCAUUCAUAUCCUGUCUUUCCCUUGUCCUCUCCCUUUCCCUUUCCUAGGCAAUGUAUGUUCUAUACUUCACAAUUGACACAUUAAUGUCCUCUUGUUUAUACUUCUUUGGCAUUCUUUUUUGUUCC